RNAcentral lists this ribosomal RNA (233 nucleotides) under uncultured bacterium. Its description in RNAcentral is "partial 16S ribosomal RNA". It matches the Rfam family "Bacterial small subunit ribosomal RNA", at positions 118 to 351 of the family's 1533-position model. The record is from RNAcentral.
UGAGUGACCUGCCGAUUUGUGGGGGAUAGCCGGGCCAACGCCCGGGUAAUACCGCAUACGCUCUUCUUGGGGCAUCUCUAGAAGAGGAAACCUCCGGGGCAAAUCGAGGGACUCGCGGCCUAUCAGCUAGUUGGCGAGGUAACGGCUCACCAAGGCUACGACGGGUAGCUGGUCUGAGAGGAUGAUCAGCCACACUGGGACUGAGACACGGCCCAGACUCCUACGGGAGGNAG